AACGUAGGUACCGAGCGUUAUCCGGAUUUACUGGGCGUAAAGCGUGUUCAGGCGGCCUGGCAAGUCGGGCAUGAAAUCUCUCGGCUCAACCGAGAGAGGCUGUCCGAUACUGCUGGGCUUGAGGACGGUAGAGGGUGGUGGAAUUCCGCGUGUAGUGGUGAAAUGCGUAGAUAUGCGGAGGAACACCAGUGGCGAAGGCGGCCACCUGGACCGUCCCUGACGCUCAAACACGAAAGCUAGGGUAGCGAACGGGAUUAGAAACCCCGGUAGUCCUAGCCGUAAACGAUGUUGACUGGGUGUCAGAGGUGUAAAACCCUUUGGUGCCGGAGCAAACGCGUUAAGUCAACCGCCUGGGGACUACGGCCGCAAGGUUAAA
Molecule: ribosomal RNA, 376 nt
Filed under: uncultured bacterium
Lineage: Bacteria
Description: bacterial SSU rRNA
Rfam family: Bacterial small subunit ribosomal RNA
Source: RNAcentral